Molecule: ribosomal RNA, 203 nt
Filed under: uncultured bacterium
Lineage: Bacteria
Description: partial 16S ribosomal RNA
Rfam family: Bacterial small subunit ribosomal RNA
Source: RNAcentral
GUAAGAAUCUUCCCUUUGGUGGGGAAUACCUUGUCGAAAGACAAGCUAAUACCGCAUAAAAUCCACGGAUAAAAGCGUGUAACUACGCGCCGAUUGAGGAGCUUACUUCCCAUCAGGUAGUUGGUAGGGUAAUGGCCUACCAAGCCUACGACGGGUACCCGAUCUGAGAGGAUGAACGGGCAGAAUGGGACUGAGACACGGCC